UACGGAGGGGGCUAGCGUUGUUCGGAAUUACUGGGCGUAAAGCGCACGUAGGCGGACCAGCAAGUUAGGGGUGAAAUCCCGGGGCUCAACCCCGGAACUGCCUUUAAAACUGUUGGUCUGGAGGUCGAGAGAGGUGAGUGGAAUUCCGAGUGUAGAGGUGAAAUUCGUAGAUAUUCGGAAGAACACCAGUGGCGAAGGCGGCUCACUGGACUGGUAUUGACGCUGAGGUGCGAAAGCGUGGGGAGCAAGCAGG
Molecule: ribosomal RNA, 253 nt
Filed under: uncultured bacterium
Lineage: Bacteria
Description: partial 16S ribosomal RNA
Rfam family: Bacterial small subunit ribosomal RNA
Source: RNAcentral